GUGUCAGCCGCCGCGGUAACACGUAGGGCGCAAGCGUUGUCCGGAUUCAUUGGGCGUAAAGAGCUCGUAGGCGGUUUGGUAAGUCGGGUGUGAAAGCUCAGGGCUCAACUCUGAGAUGCCACCCGAUACUGCCAUGACUCGAGUCCGGUAGGGGAGCACGGAAUUCCUGGUGUAGCGGUGAAAUGCGCAGAUAUCAGGAGGAACACCAGUAGCGAAGGCGGUGCUCUGGGCCGGAACUGACGCUGAGGAGCGAAAGCGUGGGGAGCAAACAGGAUUAGAUACCCCCGUAGUCC
Molecule: ribosomal RNA, 293 nt
Filed under: uncultured bacterium
Lineage: Bacteria
Description: partial 16S ribosomal RNA
Rfam family: Bacterial small subunit ribosomal RNA
Source: RNAcentral